AUCAACUUUCGAUGGUAGGAUAGAGGCNUACCAUGGUGGUAACGGGUAACGGGGUGUUAGGGCACGACACCGGAGAGGGAGCNUGAGAAACGGCUACCACAUCCAAGGAAGGCAGCAGGCGCGCAAAUUACCCAAUCCCGACAUGGGGAGGUAGUGACAAUAAAUAACAAUACAGGGUUCUUUUGGAUCUUGUAAUUGGAAUGAGUACAAUUUAAAUCUCUUAACGAGGAACAAUUGGAGGGCAAGUCUGGUGCCAGCAGCCGCGGUAAUUCCAGCUCCAAUAGCGUAUAUUAAAGUUGUUGCAGUUAAAAAGCUCGUAGUUGAAUUUCGGGAUCAAGGAAUCGGUCAUGCCUCGGUAUGUACUGGUUUUAUUGGUUCUCACCUUCUAAAGAACCAUGAUGUCAUUUAUUUGAUGUUAUGGGGAAUUAGGACUGUUACCUUGAAAAAAUUAGAGUGUUUAAAGCAGGCUUACGCUUGAAUACAUUAGCAUGGAAUAAUGAAAUAGGACAUCAGAUUCUAUUUUGUUGGUUUCUAGGAUCGAUGUAAUGAUUAAUAGGGAUAGUUGGGGGCAUUAGUAUUCAAUUGUCAGAGGUGAAAUUCUUGGAUUUAUUGAAGACUAACUCCUGCGAAAGCAUUUGCCAAGGAUGUUUUCAUUAAUCAAGAACGAAAGUUAGGGGAUCGAAGACGAUCAGAUACCGUCGUAGUCUUAACCAUAAACUAUGCCGACUAGGGAUCGGAUGAUGUUUAUUUUUUAGUGACUCAUUCGGCACCUUACGGGAAACCAAAGUGUUUGGGUUC
Molecule: ribosomal RNA, 798 nt
Filed under: uncultured Glomus
Lineage: Eukaryota; Fungi; Glomeromycota; Glomeromycetes; Glomerales; Glomeraceae
Description: SSU rRNA
Rfam family: Eukaryotic small subunit ribosomal RNA
Source: RNAcentral